CCUACGGGAGGCAGCAGUGGGGAAUAUUGGGCAAUGGGCGCAAGCCUGACCCAGCAACGCCGCGUGAAGGAAGAAGGCUUUCUGGUUGUAAACUUCUUUUCUCAGGGACGAAGCAAGUGACGGUACCUGAGUACUACGCCACGGCUAACUACGUGCCCGCAGCCGCGGUAAUACGUAGGUGGCAAGCGUUAUCCGGAUUUACUGGGUGUAAAGGGAGUGUAGGCGGGACUGCAAGUCAGAUGUGAAAACCACGGGCUAAACCUGUGGACUGCAUUUGAAACUGUAGUUCUUGAGUACUGGAGAGGUAGACGGAAUUCCUGGUGUAGCGGUGAAAUGCGUAGAUAUCAGGAGGAACACCAGUGGCGAAGGCGGUCUGCUGGACAGCAACUGACGCUGAGGCGCGAAAGCGUGGGGAGCAAACAGGAUUAGAUACCCUAGUAGUC
RNAcentral lists this ribosomal RNA (443 nucleotides) under uncultured bacterium. Its description in RNAcentral is "partial 16S ribosomal RNA". It matches the Rfam family "Bacterial small subunit ribosomal RNA", at positions 338 to 795 of the family's 1533-position model. The record is from RNAcentral.